This 64-nucleotide transfer RNA is filed under the name Colossendeis megalonyx. Its description in RNAcentral is "tRNA-Met". The record is from RNAcentral. Lineage: Eukaryota; Metazoa; Arthropoda; Pycnogonida; Pantopoda; Colossendeidae.
UAAAAAGUAAGCUAAUGAAGCUUUUGGGUUCAUACCUCAACUAUAGAAUUUAUUCUCUUUUUAA